GAUCAUGGCUCAGAUUGAACGCUGGCGGCAGGCCUAACACAUGCAAGUCGAGCGGUAGAGAGAAGCUUGCUUCUCUUGAGAGCGGCGGACGGGUGAGUAAUGCCUAGGAAUCUGCCUGGUAGGGGGGGAUAACGUUCGGAAACGGACGCUAAUACCGCAUACGUCCUACGGGAGAAAGCAGGGGACCGUCGGGCCUUGCGCUAUCAGAUGAGCCUAGGUCGGAUUAGCUAGUUGGUGGGGUAAUGGCUCACCAAGGCGACGAUCCGUAACUGGUCUGAGAGGAUGAUCAGUCACACUGGAACUGAGACACGGUCCAGACUCCUACGGGAGGCAGCAGUGGGGAAUAUUGGACAAUGGGCGAAAGCCUGAUCCAGCCAUGCCGCGUGUGUGAAGAAGGUCUUCGGAUUGUAAAGCACUUUAAGUUGGGAGGAAGGGUUGUAGAUUAAUACUCUGCAAUUUUGACGUUACCGACAGAAUAAGCACCGGCUAACUCUGUGCCGGCAGCCGCGGUAAUACAGGGGGUGCAAGCGUUAAUCGGAAUUACUGGGCGUAAAGCGCGCGUAGGUGGUUAGUUAAGUUGGAUGUGAAAUCCCCGGGCUCAACCUGGGAACUGCAUUCAAAACUGACUGACUAGAGUAUGGUAGAGGGUGGUGGAAUUUCCUGUGUAGCGGUGAAAUGCGUAGAUAUAGGAAGGAACACCAGUGGCGAAGGCGACCACCUGGACUGAUACUGACACUGAGGUGCGAAAGCGUGGGGAGCAAACAG
Molecule: ribosomal RNA, 765 nt
Filed under: uncultured bacterium
Lineage: Bacteria
Description: bacterial SSU rRNA
Rfam family: Bacterial small subunit ribosomal RNA
Source: RNAcentral